CGGCGCAAAGGCUGCUGGGACGGGACUCCAAGCCUGGGCAGAGUGAGUUGCUGUAGAUGGCUCUCUAUCCGCUAUAACUUUGACCCGCUGGUUUAUGGGUAAGGGAUUCAGGUGAGAGAGGUCACAGCAUUAGUGGGUGAGUAAUCAGUAUAGCGCUUUACUAUAAAAUACAUUAUAACUAUAUGCAACCUCUAGCAUAGCCCAGUGCCAGCACUAUAACUUCCCUGGCAGACACACCUUAUAUUAUUAUUAUUAUAUUAUCUUUAUUAGUACAGGAGGUCUCUGGUACCUCUCCCACCAGAUAAAUUAUAUUCAUCACUGCAUUUCACAUUAAACUGGCUGCAGCAACCGCACUGCCAUCCACUGGUCUUCUGGGAAUUCAACUUGAAUGUUACAUUUUAGUCUACAAAACUCAAAUUGGGAGAUUUAUACUAUUAAAGGGACACUACAGGCACCCAGAUCACUUCUGCUCAUUGAAGUAUUUUGGGUGCAAUGUCCCAGGUCCAUUAACCCUGCAUAGGUAAUUAUUUCUGAUUUUAAUAAACUGCAAUAAUUAGCUUUGAGGGUUAACUCCAUCUCUAGUGGUUGUCUACCAGACAGCCACUAGAGGGCCUUCGGGGUCAUUAGGCGACUCUUGGACAUCAUUAUGCUGUGGACGUCCUUACUAUGCAUGAGAACACCCAGCGCCACGCAUUAUACAAUGCUUAUCUAUGGGAGAAGUUUUAAUGCGAGCCUGAACCAGCGCCGAUAGAAUUACCAGUCUGCACCACACAGGUGGGCACUAUCACUAUAGUUUCCCUCAAUUUUAAGUCUGUUAUGUUUUUAGAUUUUUUAUGUAAUACUCUAGAUCAGAGGUUCCCAAUUAAUUUUUUUCCAUGGAACCCUUUAAAAUAGUGUACCAACAUCAUAGAACGCCUAAAAAAAAAAGUGCACCACAGCGCAAACCUUUUAAUUAGCAGAGUGUAGUGUUUUCUUUUUAGCAAGUUUUGUUUUUUGAUAUGCAUACACAUACUUGGGAGCAGGUGUGCUUUUGUGUGUAAAGUUGAUUCUUGUAUAUAAUUUUAUUUUAGGGGUGUGUUUGUAAUGCACAUUUUCUUCUUUGUUCGGUUCGGUGUUACUACCUAUAUAUUGAAUGUAUUGGUUCGGUAGUUUGAAAGUACCGAACGCCGACCACCCUCCUGGCUCAUUAACUACAAAGGAACCAGCUAUUAAGUGCUCCCUGUGCGGCCGGUGUUCGUACAGCCGAACGCCACGUGGAGUAGAAAACGGCGGCCAUCUUGUUCGCACGAGGGGAGUCAGCAGGACUUGGUCGUCAAGUGUCUGGAACUAAAAUCGGACUCUCGACCUCGCGAACCACCGCUGAAACUACCGAAGGCCGGCUUCUUGUAUUUCCCGAACAGCCAGGGAAGCGCCAUUCGGUAGUUCUGUGCGAACGGACAAGGGGAACAAUCGUUACAAUGAGCCAGGGGGAUCCAUUCGGGACUUUUGUUCGGUUUUUACAGAUUUGUGAAUUGACCGACCGCAUACGCUGAAUUCAUGGAACUGUUUUGGGCAGGAGCCGCGUGUGUGGUCGGUAAAAUGGACCCUCCACACUUUUUCAGAACCCCUGAACCAAUCUGGGUGAAAUUUGGAUAUGUUUGUUCCCCAGAUAGGGGCUAUGUAAUUUGUGGGGAUACCUUGUGGGGAUAGGGGUGUUCUAAGUUUUGGGGAAAUUGUGUGCUCUCUGCCUGGAGAUAAUUGGUUUAUUCCUUAAAUUAUCUCAAUAUCUCCCAGGCAGAGAAGAGGUGUGUAUUACUGUAAAUCUGUAUGUUGAUUGGCUGUUGUCUUUGUUUGCUGUGGGAGGUCCUCUUGCAGGAGGAUUUCUCAUAAAAGCCCGUGUGUGUCAAUAAAAUUCAUUCCUGUUACACCCUUCAUGAAGUCUAGGCUCAUGUUUGGGGGAUAUUCUACUUGCUGAGAAGAAUCACCUUGGAACUGCAUUUCAUCUACCUUAUUCCUCUACUCCCUGCAGGGCCGGUGCUUGGAUUUUUAGGUACAUAGGCGAAGAUGCAUUUUUCCAGUCACUCACAGACACACAGAGACGUACAGUCACUCACAGACACACACGCUCAGUCACUCACAGACACACACGCUCAGUCACUCACAGACACACACGCACAGUCACUCACACACGCACAGUCACUCACAGACACACACGCACAGUCACUCACACACACACACAGUCACUCACAGACACACACACUCUGUCACAGACACACACACUCUGUCACUCACAGACACACACACUGUCACUCACGCACACACAGACACACACACUCUGUCACUCACACACACACAGACACACACACUGUCACUCACACUCUGUCACUCACACACACACUCUGUCACACACACACACACUCUGUCACACACACACACUCACACACACACACUCACACACACACUCUGUCACUCACACACACACAGACACACACACUCUGUCACUGACACACACACACAGUCACUCACAGACACACACACUCUGUCACUCACACAGACACACACACACACAGUCACUCACAGACACACACACUCUGUCACUCACACAGACACACACACUCUGUCACUCACACACACAGACACACACACACAGUCAUUCACAGACACACACACUCUGUCACUCACACAGACACACACACUCUGUCAUUCACAGACACACAUCACAUACAUUCACUAAUUAUUUUUAUAACUACAUAUUUUCCACCCAGCCUCCCUACCUGGAGAGCUGAUGUGGAUGAUGUAUCUGUCCCUGGGGCUGCUGAGAGGCGUGCGGCAGUGCUGUGAUCAGGCGCGGCGAGGGAGCUCUAAUCUCCAUCCUCUACUCCCUCGCGGUCUGCCUACUGAUGCUGCGGGAUGACGUCAUAUUCCGGCUCCCGCGGCAUCUGCAGGCAGCGCGCGAGGGAGCAGAGAGGUUAGAGCUCCCUCGCCGCGCCUGAUCACAGCACUGCCGCACCGGGGGUCGAGAUGGUGGCCUGGCAGGAGGGAGAGCUUCCCUCCUGCCGGUCACUGAAAUAUUGCGCCCCCAGAGCCCGCGCGCCCUAAGGCGGCCGCCUGUGCCGCCUUAUGGACGCGCCGGCCCUGACUCCCUGAUGCAGUUAUAAUCACUCAUGCUCAGCUGUUGGGAAAGGGAACAGAAGACCGCAGCACCAUAACCACUGCAGGUCAUAACACACACAUUGGCGCAAAGAUACACACACCUUGACACAGAUACACACACUGACACACAGGUUCACACACUGGUACAGAUACACACAAUCUGACAAAAAUAAAAAUACAUGUUAAAAUGUUUUUAUUUUCAGCCACCCUACUGUUAGCUUACCUUUUGUGUCCAGGAGGGUGGCUUGUUCGGGGUUCUGGCUGAAGCUAAUGGGAGCAAGCAUGCAGCAGCAGUUCACUCCAAACUCAUCUUUGCCUCCAUGCUGCUAUAUGAGCCGCUGCCUCCUGCCUCCUCCUUCCUCAUUCCAUUCCUUCAACGCAGCUCGUUAUGUAAAGCUGAAAGGAAGUGACAGGCUGUCACUUCCUCCCAGUCGGCUGAUACUGCAGAGGCUGGUCAUGCUCUCAAAGAUCCGCGGCACCUUGCCACAUGUCUCGUCUGUUCAAUCGUAAUUUUUCCAGAAGCCUUGUGGUUCUUUUCAGAUGCAUCUUUGCAAACCUAAGCCGUGCUACCAUGUUAUUUUUAGAGAGUAGAGGCUUUCUGCUGGCAACCCUUCCAAAUAAAUCAUACUUGUUCAGUCUUUUUGUAAUUGUACGUUCAUGAACUUUAACAUUCAACAUCCUAACUGAGGCCUUAGAUGUAACUCUUGGGUUUUUUACAAGUGUCUCCGCAUGGCACGGUCUGACCUUGGGGUGAAUUUGCUGGGACGUCCACUCCUGGGAAGAUUGGCAACUGUCUUGAAUGUUUCCCACUUGUGAAACAUCUUUCUCAAUUUAAAAUGAUGGACUUUAAAUUGUUUGGAAAUAGCCUUGUAACUCUUCCCAGUUUGAUGGGCAGCAACAAUUCCUUCUCUGAGAUCGUUACUGGUGCCUUUCCUCCUUGGCAUCAUGUUAACACACGUGAAUGCUCCAGAUCAGCAAAGUGAUAAAACUUUGGCUUUUAAAGAGGUGGUCACACUUUCUGAUGGACAAUUAAUCAACGGAAUUUAUUUGAUUAGCAGAAGUUAUCUGCAACCAAGCCUCUUAAUUCCUAUGAAAGCAGUAAGGGUGUACUUAGUUUUUCACACAUGGCUUCUCCAUUUUUGGCUUUAUUUUUGUUAAAUCAUGAGGGAGUGUAAUAUGUCAUGUGUUAUUGUCCAUCUAAGGUUGUAUUUACUAAUUUGUAAGACCUGCUAAGGAACAGCUGAUUGUUGUGUCCUGAUAUGUAAAACCAUAGAAUUCAAAGACGGUGUGCUUUCUUUUUCCCAUGAUUGUGUAUAGGUGCCAGCCAUACCAGCCCCAUCUGUGGGAUGUGCCAUCCUGGGCCAGUUAUUUGUAGUGAAAUAAGAAAUGGAAUGAAAAUUAAAUUCUGUAUUUAUGUAGACUCAAAUACAAAUUUAACUGAUAUGUAUGCUAUUGUAUCUUUCUAAAACAGAUAUUUUAAAAUGCUACAAGUCGGUGUUCUCUCUGUCCGUUUUUGGCAAUCUCAUCUGUCACGGAAGAUCUGGAGGUCAAAGCCGUUUUGCAGAACUAGUUUCACUUCUUCAUCAUCUGAUCACAAAAAUAAGCCACAACAUACGGUACCAAACACACAAUCUCCUUGUCCAUCCAAAUCCCAGCAAAAUGACAAAUGUGAUAAUUUUACAUUGAUAUACAAGCUACAUGGGAUACGGUUCUGCAGAAGUCUUUCAAGACUUAAAAUACUUCAGACAAGUUUAACCGUGAUAUUCCUGCCUCCUAUUUAUUAUUACUAUAUGAAAGGACAAGUCACAUAUUUGUGUGUUCAAUACAGCACUGGCACUGCUGUCUUUGCUUGUAUAAUGUUGUAUUGUCUAAGUUAUUUUCUUCGGAGAAUUAUAGGAAUGAUUUACUUAAAUGAUGCUGGCACAACUGUAAAAGUUUCUCAUUUGACGUUUUGGGGCAAAAGAAAAGACAUUUUCAUUCCUGUAACAGAUAUACAAUCACUGGAAGAAACUGGAGACGACAAAAAUGAAAUCCUUCUUCAAUUUAAACGAUACAGCAAUCCAGAUGUUUUGUAUUUUACAACAAGAUUCGGUUACAUUUUGGAUAGAAAAAAGUUUUCAAUGCUUUUUGGAUCUUUUAAAUGACUGUCAUCAAAACAAUCAAUGUAUGUUUGUUCAGCCGUAAAAUGAAAAUAUUAACGCUAUUAAAAUUCUAUAAUGUAUAUUUGUUUUAGAAAUGGACAUAUAAAUAUAUAAAUAUUUUUUUUUAUUGAAAUCUCAAGUUUCCUUAAUACUCUGUUUAUUGGGUCUGCUUGAAGCAGUAAGCAGACCCGUCUACUCUAUCAGGAAGAAACUUCCAUCCCACAAACUUCUGCACAAUGACUUUAAUGUGAUAAGUAGCUUAUCCCCAAGAGAUGUUCCAUUCAUUUUGAGUGUAACUGCUUUGUAAAAUAACCGCUAUGCCAUGGUUUUUACUUAUGCAAGGUCCACUGUUUCGUAAACUUGUCUUUGUGAAGCAGUUGUGUGAUAAUUCCAUGGCUUUGCUCUAUCUCUUGGGAACAAGUAGAACUCAGUCCAAGAAUUGUGUGUGAC
Molecule: long non-coding RNA, 5723 nt
Filed under: Pelobates cultripes (western spadefoot toad)
Lineage: Eukaryota; Metazoa; Chordata; Amphibia; Anura; Pelobatidae
Source: RNAcentral